UACGUAGGGGGCAAGCGUUGUCCGGAAUCAUUGGGCGUAAAGGGCCAGUAGGCGGCCAACUAAGUCCGACGUGAAAUCCCAAGGCUUAACCUUGGAACUGCGUCGGAUACUGGAUGGCUUGAAUUCGGGAGAGGGAUGCAGAAUUCCAGGUGUAGCGGUGAAAUGCGUAGAUAUCUGGAGGAAUACCGGUGGCGAAGGCGGCAUCCUGGACCGACAUUGACGCUGAACGGCGAAAGCUAGGGGAGCAAACGGG
RNAcentral lists this ribosomal RNA (253 nucleotides) under uncultured bacterium. RNAcentral's name for it is "partial 16S ribosomal RNA". It matches the Rfam family "Bacterial small subunit ribosomal RNA", at positions 524 to 776 of the family's 1533-position model. The record is from RNAcentral.